This 842-nucleotide ribosomal RNA is filed under the name Bacillus cereus. RNAcentral describes it as "bacterial SSU rRNA". It matches the Rfam family "Bacterial small subunit ribosomal RNA", at positions 62 to 882 of the family's 1533-position model. Lineage: Bacteria; Bacillati; Bacillota; Bacilli; Caryophanales; Bacillaceae. The record is from RNAcentral.
UCGAGCGAAUGGAUUAAGAGCUUGCUCUUAUGAAGUUAGCGGCGGACGGGUGAGUAACACGUGGGUAACCUGCCCAUAAGACUGGGAUAACUCCGGGAAACCGGGGCUAAUACCGGAUAACAUUUUGAACCGCAGGGUUCUAAAUUGAAAGGCGGCUUCGGCUGUCACUUAUGGAUGGACCCGCGUCGCAGUAGCUAGUUGGUGAGGUAACGGCUCACCAAGGCAACGAUGCGUAGCCAACCUGAGAGGGUGAUCGGCCACACUGGGACUGAGACACGGCCCAGACUCCUACGGGAGGCAGCAAUAGGGAAUCUUCCGCAGUGGACGAAAGUCUGACGGAGCAACGCCGCGUGAGUGAUGAAGGCUUUCGGGUCGUAAAACUCUGUUGUUAGGGAAGAACAAGUGCUAGUUGAAUAAGCUGGCCCCUUGACGGUACCUAACCAGAAAGCCACGGCUAACCACGUGCCAGCAGCCGGGGUAAUACGUAAGUGGCAAGCGUUAUCCGGAAUUAUUGGGCGUAAAGCGCGCGCAGGUGGUUUCUUAACUCUGAUGUGAAAUCCCACGGCUCAUCCGUGGAGGGUCAUUGGAAACUGGGAGACUUGAGUGCAAAAGAGGAAAGUGGAAUUCCAUGUGUAGCGGUGAAAUGCGUAGAGAUAUGGAGGAACACCAGUGGCGAACGCGACUUUCUGGUCUGUAACUGACACUGAGGCGCGAAAGCGCGGGGAGCAAACAGGAUGAUAUACCCUGGUAGUCCACGCCAUAACCGAUGAGUGCUUAGUGUUAGAGGGUUUCCGCCCAUUAAUGAGGAAGUUAACGCAUUAAGCACUCCCGCCGGGGGAGUA